CAGAUAAGCAUUGUUUAGAAAACAAUGCCUCUCUGCCAAACGUUAUCAAAAACCCAACACGGGUUUUUGGUGCCCUGAAACAGAACCUCGGGGUCUUCUACUGCAUUUGGCCCCAUCACUGAACUCCAAGGGUCUCCCCAGGUCCCAAAGCUCAGUGUUUUUCCACCUGUAUCACCUUUGUUUCACACAGUCACUUAAGGAAGACAGCCUAGAAGCAAUGAUAAAGAUCUCUGAUAGACAACAACACAGAAAGAAGAACAGUGCACAUCUGGGCACCUCAGGAGCACUUUAGGCACUCAAUGCCAGAGUCACCACGAGGCACAGACUCGAGGGAAACCACCCUGAGUGACCCCAAGACCUCAGGAACCUGAAGAGCACCGCCCGACCACCACCACGGGGGGAUGUGUAUGGGGGGCAUAGGGAGGGGAGGGGGGAAGGUCAGCCGCGUUUCACGUCCCCCUCUGGAGGAGGAGCCGAGCUGAACCCCCGGCAGCCUCAGUGCGCUCCCACAAACGGGGCAGUGCGGAGAAAGCCAGACAGCGGUACCCGAACAGAAGAGCACGCAGCGGCACUUUCCGAUAAACCAGCGCCUGCAAACCCUGAAACUUUCGCAGCGCCCUCCCGCUUCGCAAAGCACCGGGGGUGCCAUAUCCGCGGGGCACACACCUGCACGCCCCGGGACCGAGUUUGCCCCCCUCCCGUAGCCGGCAGCCCCCACUUACCGGCGGGGCGUUGGGCGGGCAGCCGCCUGCAGCCAACCUGGCCGCCUGCCUCCUCAGCUCGGCCAGCUGCGCCUGGCAGCUCCGGCACCAGCCCCCGGCCGCCGCCCGCUCCAGCGGCCGCGUUUCGCUCCCGACGGCGGCGGACCCCGCUCCUUCGGGCGGCGGGCGGCGGGCGCAGCGCUCCUCCUCGGGGGCGGCGGAGGAGGCGACGGACGGAGGUUUUUUCCGAGGGGAGAGCUCCCGCCCCGCGCUCCCCUCCGCCACCUGCGGAGAGAGCAAAGAGAGCUUCAA
RNAcentral lists this long non-coding RNA (1013 nucleotides) under Coturnix japonica (Japanese quail). Its description in RNAcentral is "lncRNA (ENSCJPG00005007623.1)". Lineage: Eukaryota; Metazoa; Chordata; Aves; Galliformes; Phasianidae. The record is from RNAcentral.